CUUUAGUCAGGAUUAGGGUUUUAAACCCUAAACUGAACUCUUCCCUUUAGUCAUCAUUAAGGUUUUAAACCCUAAACUGAACUCUUUCCUGUAGUCAGCAUUAGGGUUUUAAACCCUAAACUAAACUCUUUCCUUCAGUCAGCAUUGGGGUUUUAAACCCUAAACUGAACUUUUUCCCUUUAGUCAGCAUUAAGGUUUUAAACCCUAAACUGAACUCUUUUCCUUCAGUCAGCAUUAGGGUUUUAAACCCUAAACUGAACUCUUUUCCUUUAGUCAGCAUUAGGGUUUUAAACCCUAAACUGAACUUUUUCCAUUUAGUCAGCAUUAGGGUUUUAAACCCUAAACUGAACUCUUUUCCAUUUAGUCAGCAUUAGGGCUUUAAACCCUAAACUGAACUCUUUUCCAUUUAGUCAGCAUUAGGGUUUUAAACCCUAAACUGAACUCUUUCCUUCAGUCAGCAUUAGGAUUUUAAACCCUAAAUUGAACUCUUUUCCUUUAGUCAGCAUUAGGGUUUUAAACCCUAAACUGAACUCUUUUCCUUCAGUCAACAUUAGGGUUUUAAACCCUAAACUGAACUCUUUUCCUUCAGUCAGCAUUAGGGUUUUAAACCCUAAACUGAACUUUUUUCCUUUAGUCAGCAUUAGGGUUUUAAACCCUAAACUGAACUUUUUCCAUUUAGUCAGCAUUAGGGUUUUAAACCCUAAACUGAACUCUUUCCUUCAGUCAGCAUUAGGGUUUUAAACCCUAAACUGAACUCUUUUCCAUUUAGUCAGCAUUAGGGUUUUAAACCCUAAACUGAACUCUUUUUUGUAGUAAGCAUUAGGGUUUUAAACCCUAAACUGAACUCUUUCCUUCAGUCAGCAUUGGGGUUUUAAACCCUAAACUGAACUUUUUGCCUUUAGUCAGCAUUAGGGUUUUAAACCCUAAACUGAACUUUUUCCCUUUAUUCAGGAUUAGGGUUUUAAACCCUAAACUGAACUUUUUCCCUUUAGUCAGCAUUAGGGUUUUAUACCCUAAACUGAAUUC
RNAcentral lists this long non-coding RNA (1026 nucleotides) under Nicotiana tabacum (common tobacco). Its description in RNAcentral is "long non-coding RNA (NTAB_LNC008519)". The record is from RNAcentral. Lineage: Eukaryota; Viridiplantae; Streptophyta; Magnoliopsida; Solanales; Solanaceae.